This 12609-nucleotide long non-coding RNA is filed under the name Lactuca sativa (garden lettuce). Its description in RNAcentral is "long non-coding RNA (LSAT_LNC000310)". Lineage: Eukaryota; Viridiplantae; Streptophyta; Magnoliopsida; Asterales; Asteraceae. The record is from RNAcentral.
AUCGGUGGCACCGGCGCCGGCUUCCUUGGGAAGCUUCUUUCCGGCCUUUGGCUUUUUCUCGGCAGGGGAUUUUUCAGCUACGGCGGCUUUCUUCUCCUCCGCUGGCUUCUUCUCGGCUGGCUUCUUCUCUGCUUUGGGCGCCAUUGAAGGGAUUUUGUUUUGUAAAGAGGGAAUUUGAUGUUUAAAGAGAAAGAGAGAGAUGGUUGAAACGUGAGAUGAUGAAAAUGAAGGAAGAAUUUGUUGUGUUUAUAUGAGGAUUGAGAGGCGUUGUCUGAUUGGUUGAUUUUAGAUGUCCCGGAUUGUGCAUAGAGACCGUUGAUAUGUUCUGGUCCAUGGUUUUGCUUCAAGGGACGUGAUUUAAUUUGAGAAGUGAGUUUUUGUUGGCUUGACGCACGACGCGGAUCAACAUUUUGGCCCAUAUCCUAUUUUUCUUUAAUUUUUUUUAGGAAAUUACAAUAUAUUUAUUUAUACUGUAUUAUAAAAUAAAUUUGCUUUUUUAAAAUAGAUUAAAUAUAUCCAUACCCGACCCUUUUAAAUAAAGGGUUAGCGGAUACGGGUCGUUAACGGGUAAACGGAUCAAAUAAAAAAUUAUGCUCCAAACUCGUAUAAUUGAUAAGGGUUUGGAUUGAAUCAGGAUCAAAAUCCGCUCCGUUGUCAGACCUAUGUGUUUGACUUGUCGGAUGGUCAAGGCCAACCACCAGAGGUCGCAUGGCAAGCUGCAGUCAUUGGAGGUUCUCAUGUGGAAAUGGAAACAUAUCACUAUGGAUUUCAUCACCAAGUUACCUCGAACGGCUAAUGGAUUCGACGCGAUAUGGUUUAUCGUUGACCGUGUGACCAAUAGCACUCGCUUUUUGUCCAUUCGAGAAAGUUUUGCGGCCGAAAAAAUAGUCGGUUUGUAUGUGCGCGAUAUUGUUGCUUGACAUGGUAUUCUAGUCUCCAUUGUAUCUGAUCGAGAUGUUCGGUUCACAUCUCGUUUUUGGAAGAAGUUCCACCAUGAACUGGGUACGCGAUUGCAUCUUAGCAUUGAGUAUCAUCCGCAAACUGAUCGAGAUGUUCGGUUCACAAUAAUCCAGUCAUACAUAACCUACAUAUUAGAACCAAAAUUGAUUAAUACAAUAAAUUUCAAUAGAUCGCUCAAGCUAACAAUCGAAACAACAAAGAAACAAAACAUAAUAGAUUAUGAUGACACCAACGAAUGUUGCACCAUACUAAACUGAAGAACUGAUAACUGAAACCCCCAAUUUGGGAAAUCCAUAUGUCUCAUACCGUCCAUCCAAAAACUGCCAAGCCAAAGGUGCCACAUCCAAAACCGCACUAUCUGCUCCUAACGGACAAGCAGAAUCAACAUGUUCUGGCUGACUGCAAAAUAAACAUACAUUCGACUUCCCCGACUAUAAUCGCGAUUAAAAUGACCCUCAUGAUCGCGCCUAAAACAUGCAGAAACAAAAACGCAUCAAAUAUCCCAAUGAAUCUGACCACACUCCCCAUACAACCUGUGGGUCUCUCGAUCUCCUGCCCGAAAGCCCGCCACCCCAGCCUUUUUGGUUGUCGUUGCAAAUGCAUGAACUUGAUCCUGCUUUCUCUUCUGUUGCUGAAUCUCCAACUACAACUCUCUCUCCCAGGCCGCCUCCACCAAACUAGAGAGAGUCUUAUGACUCGAGAUACACACACGUUCCCAAAUUGAGAUUUUAAUCAUCUUUAGUCAAGGAUAAGAAAUUAUAGUUUAUUUCAAUUCUAAAAGCUUAGAUUGAGAUUUUAAUCAUCUUUAGUCAAGGAUAUAUAUAUAUAUANNNNNNNNNNNNNNNNNNNNNNNNNNNNNNNNNNNNNNNNNNNNNNNNNNNNNNNNNNAUGAAUUUUAUGUUAGAAUGGCUCAACAUAAGGAAAUUCCAUAAAUAUUACGUUCUCAAAAUUCGAUUAUGAUUACGGCAUCCCUCUUCAUAGUCAAAUUAUGAAAACAUGGAAAAUAAAAAAAAAUAUUGUAGCAGAAGACUGGUCUAGGAUCAUGUCUUCAUGUGAGACAUCAUGAAUCGUGCCCCAUAUGCUUCGGAUAUAGGAUCGAUUACAUGUGCUAUAAUAUUUAUACCUUCUAAAUUUUCCAAAUGCCUAUGGCAUUAAGAGGGGCAAAGGUCUAGAAUUGGAUAUGACUAAAAUGAUUAAGCAAUUGUUGAGGAUAAUCUGAGGUUUACCAGAGAUUGGUUGCUCAUGGACAGUUGGAAGUAUGGUGUUAAAUUUUGGAGAGGAACCAUAUUGACAUGUUCUGAAAAGAGGCGACUCUUGUUUAGAAGUGAUAGUCAAAACGGGAAUAUGGAAAUGUUUUUCCAUAUUGGGAGUUGGAUAUUAAGAAACUAUGAGAAAGUUAGAAACUUUAAUUAAAGAAGGAUGUUCAAAGGAAUGUACUUUGAACUUGAGAUUUCGUCACCUUGGAAUUGUCGUGUAACAAUUUCCAGUUGAAUCUAUUGUAAUAGUGUUGGUCAAGUCUUUGUGACUCUUGGUGCCUAGACAUUACAUAACAAUAUUGCAUAAUAGUGUAUAAUCUAACACAUUUGAGCAGUGAUAAGAGUUUGGAAUUCUUACACUUACAAUAAAGAUUUGGUAUUGUGAAAUGAGCAUCAUUGGAAUCAUGUUCAAUUGAUAUAUUUCACAAAGUAAGGAUCGUAGACAAACAUAGUGUGCAUACUUGGAGUAUGGCAUAACUAUCGUUUACGAAAACAUGGUGUACAUGCUUGGAGCAUGGGACAACUGUUGUUUUAAUUCAAGUAUUAAGUUGAUUAUUUGAAACAUUAUGCAAUGAAUAAUGUGUAAUCAAUAUGGUGAUAAAUAAAAGGUGUUCUAUUUAUAUUCAUAAGUUUUGAGACCACAUUAGAUUCGAUUAUUCUUAUGUUUCCCUUUCAAUGUUUUGACUUCCAUAAUAGUUGGGUUAUUCUUUCCGGAUGACCAAGUUAUUUAAAUCCUCCACAGUCAGUCAUAUGUUGGAAGUAGGUAUGAAUCAAGAUUGUAAUGAAUUGGGCUUGUAGAUGUCUAAGAUGUUAGACAUAGUAAAAGUUGCUACAACAUUCAUGAGUGCUCAUAAGUUAUGAGUAUUGUAUUAAACCCACAAUCACUUGUAUCACUUCAUAGAAUUUAUCUCAAGUGACUGUAAGACGGUAAUAUCAUAUAAGUCUUCAAAACUAGAGAUACAAGUUGUUGCUUAUGAGUUGGUUGUACAUUGAUUGCGCGAAAACACAUCAUUAACUUGAUGUUAUAAAAUGUGUCUUUUGUAUAAAUAAACAAGUAGUAGAGCAAACAUAUGAGUCGAAGUUUAUCUGUUCCUUUUAGUCCUUGGAGGAUUAGAAGCGAUAUAUGGGCCCCUCGAUGAUUUUGUUUUGACCUAUGUAUCGGGCCCGGUCAGAACCAAAUUGAUGUGUUCAGUUUAGGUCUAUGUCAAACAAAUCGGAAAUCAGGAAACAAACUGCUGGACAAUAAGUAUGACGUUGUUCCAUGUAUUUGUCCGGCUGAUAUCUAGAACAGAGGAUUAUAUGAUCACUUAUCUAAAACGGCGCUUCGUAGUUCAAGAAAGUUUUAAGAGCUACGAUUCAUGGUCGGAUCCUGAAGUCAUGCUUGCAACCGUAGUUAUUAAAUUUAUCCAAGUGGGAGACUGUUGGAUAAAGUGUCUAAGUCCAUAACUAUAUUUGAGAUGUACUUGACCGACCCAACAUGGUCCAUUUGGGUUGCACUUCACCAUAACAAUUUGGAUAGUCUUUUGAGAAUAGUAUAGUUAUGAUUUGUUAAUAUAUUAUAAGUUAUAAUAUAUUAAUAUGAAAUCAUAUUAUUUAAUUAGUAUUGAUCUAUAAUUAAUUUGGAAUUAAUCUAGUGAUCAAAAGGUAACUAAUUAAAUAUGGACUCUUAUAUUUAUAUAAAGUGGGUUAAUGCUUGUUUAGAAUGGGUUAAGCUUGCUUGGAAAGUCCAUGGAUAGUCCAUGGAGCUUUAACCCAUGGAUCUUAUGGAAAUGAAAGGUCAUGGGUAUUAGGGUUUACAUGGAUGUAACCCUAAUCCACCACACUAUAUAAAUAGGUCCUUGGCACAUGAAAUGACACUAGUGUAACGCCCGUGUUUCUGGGCUUGCCAUUUUUAGCAAUGUAAUAGUCUAGUUAACCUUUGUAACCUAAUUUGAAAUAAUAAGAACAUAUCAUUUGAGUAUUAUGUGUUUCGUGCUUAAUUGCUUAAUUAUGUGAUAUGAUGAAUUAAGAAUAAAAUGAGCGUCAGAAUUUAAGUGUAAAAUAAACUUGAUAUCAUUGGAUAAUGUUGUAGUAGUUGAAACGAGGUUUCCGAAUAUAUAUAGAACUCCCAAAUCUGACUUCGUAUGAGGAAGUUAUGAUUUUCUGAAGUUUCGAUUGGGCAGUAUGCAGCUUGAAUACUCGAUUUGAGAUCGAGCGGUUUUUAGCCGAAACAAUCUAAACGAGAAUCGAAGAUCUCGUUGUUAGUAGCGAAACGAUGAAAAGUUAGGCAAGAACGGACGUCGGACGAAGAAGUUAUGAAUUUAUAACAAAGUUUUUCUGUCCCGGCCUACUAAAAAUAAAUAAUAAAAAUAAAGUCAAAAUUAGCCGACGGAGUCUAAACAAAAGUUGUAGAGCGUAGUCUCACCUACGCGUGGAUAUAAAGAACGUCGAAAAUGGAGUUCGUAUGAGGGAGAUAUGAAUUUUCAAAGUUUAUUAGAUAUUUAAUAUUUAAUUUUAAUUCAAACUUCCGAUAUUAUCCGAAGAGGAGUCAGCGGACUCAUCCGAAGUACGCCCAGCGUGACGAAGUCUAGCACUCGAGUACCUCCGAUGAUGCAGGCAAUGACGAUUUGGCAGUACGCCCCGCGUACCCCGAAGUUAUGCCCAGCGUAACCCCGAGGAUCAACCCUAUAAAAGGGGAUGCGAAGCCAGCUUCUUUCCUUUUCAAAUUUCUUCAUUUUUCUCUCAUCUUUUGCCUCGUUUUGCGUGUCGUUUAUGUUGGGUUUUGAGCAUUCUAACACUCCUAAGUGUACAUGCAACCCUAAAUACCUUGGAUCUAUGUUUUAUCUAUUAUACAUGCAAAUAUGAACAUCCAAGGUAUUAUCCUAAUCUAAGCUAUAAAACAUUGAAUAUAACAAGAUAGAAUACAUACCUAUUUGAUGUAGAAUGUCUUCAUGAAGCUUGAGUGCCUAGUGCCCCAAGUGUGACACCUCAAAUGGUUCACACAACACCGAAUACAAAUGGAAUGACUUGAGAGAACUUCACACUUCAUGAAAAUCGGCUAGCCCUUUCUUGCUCUCACUAGUGGCCGGUUUUGUCAAGAAUAAGAUAUUUAUAUAGAGUUACAAUUAGGGUAAACCCUAAUUGUCAUGACUUUCCAUUUCCUUGGAUCCAUGGGUACAAAUACACCAUGGAGCAUCCAUGGACCAUCCUAUGGGUUUUAGCCCAACUUGAUUAUCCAUGGAGCAUUAGCCCACUAUACAAGUAUGGAUGAUUUACACAAUCAACCCAUAUAUUUAAUUAGUCUUCUUUUGAUCACUUAAUUAAUCCUAGAUUAAUUCUUGAUCAAUACUAAUUAAAUAAUCUUAUUAUUCUUAUUAUUAAUAUACUAGAACUUAUAAUAUAUUAAUAACCAUAAGUGUAUUAUUUCUCCCAUUAUAGUCUAUCCAAGUGCAUGAUGCCAUGCAACCCAAAUGGACCAUGCCGGGUUGGCUCAAGUCUUACCAAUUAUAGUUAUGGACUUAGACAUUAAUCCAACAAUUUAUACCCCGAAGCCCCGAUAAUAUUCCCGAGCCCCGAAGCAAGAUCCGAAGCCCUGAGAAUCCCAAAGAGCGUUAUUCCCGAGCCGAAGCCCUGCCCGCGAGGAGCCCGGUUUUUGUGAAGAUCUUCCAGAUCUACGGAGAAACAUUACUUCUGCAAGCCGUAGUGCUGCCCGUUCAUCUUCUGAUCAAGUGAGUGUGUAGUCAUUUUCUUCCAUCACAAUAUUAUGAAGUAUUUUAUAUAAAAUACGUGCUACGUGUAUAUAUUUUGUUGUUAUAUGUGUGAAUGUAUAUUCACUUUCUUCUAUCUCAUAGAUCUGAUUUAUUAUCUAUGAAAUACGUGUUAUGUGUGUAUGCUUCAUCUGUUAUGUGGAAUAUGUAUUGAUUAAAGCAUGUUAUACAGGUUCUUAAACUAUGUAUAAAAAUGUAUAUUUUUAUCUACUAAUGUGUUGGGUAGAACAUGGGUAGAUAGUUGGUGUGUAAUAAACAGAUGAGAGGCCUCGAUGUUGUUGGUGUUAUUCUAGUCAUUCAGUAGAGUAUGGAUGACGAUCACGGACUAUUCUAGACUGUCCUGUGGAACACUAGCAGACUCAUAACCUGUAGGUGUUGUGAACGACGUGUUCACCGGUGUGCUCUAUCCCCCUCAUGGUUGCCUUUAGGAUAUUUAUUGCUAAGGAAUCCCCUUUGCAGUAAUGUCCGUCCCGAUGAAAAAUCCUAGAUUAGGUCCCUUAUAAUAGAUGUUGUUUUAGGGACGUAAAGUGAGGAUAACGGGAAUGGGUAAUCAGGUUUAUUGUUGAUUGUUAAAUUAAAUAUUUUUUGUGGGUUGAAAACCCUAUAUGCUCACCAGGCUCCCAAGCCUGACCCACUCAGCUUAUUUGUAUUACAGGAAGUGGCGCAAGAGCUUAAGAUGGACGAAUCAUCAAGUUGUUUUGUUUACAAGUCUGUAUAUGUAUACAUUGUUGAAUGACUUGUAAUGUUAUCGUUUAUGCUUUAUGAUUUGUAUCGGAACAUGACAUCCCGACUCUUGAUUAUGAAAUGAAAUCAUAUUCCUUGUGAAAUGUUUGGAUAAAUAUCUAUUUUAUCAUGUUUUGUUUUUGGGAACAAAUUCCGCAUCUCUUUCAAAAUUAAAAAGGAUUUACUCUGAAAAUGUUUAAAAAACAUAAAUGAAAUUGGUCUUUUUUGGCCGAGAUUUUGGAGAUGUCACAACUAGUGUGUGAGAAAAACCAAUGGUGGGCCGAUUUCUAAGUGUGCAUACUAUUCUAUCAAGUUUUCCAAGUUGUGUAGUGAUUUGUGAUUCCAUUUGAGGCAUCCACAUUAUUGGUGUUAGGAUCUCAAAACUCCAAGCAAUCAACCACAAGAAAAUGUAUGUUAUUCUACUAGUCUUUUAUGCUACAAGUACCCCUUGUCAUGUUAGUUAGGAUGAGAACUUUGGAAAAUUCUUAUUUGCAUGUAUUUUAGAAAAAAUAUAGAUUCAAGUUUUCUAGGGUUGCAUGUACAUCAUAGGAGUGUUAGAAUACUCAAAACCCAUGAUGUACAUCGUAAGUCCUGUAGUUAUAACCAGAGUCUCCUGGAGGGAGAGCGAGAUAUUAUGUAUAGAUCUAUACGGGGUUGACAUCCCCCACGCCUGAGUUGUUCGCUACAACUAGGCAGGCCAAUUUAGGGUGACAAUUAUCUUUAGAAACUGACGCCUGAAGAACGUCAAGACAGGCGCUCUCGUCACAUUAGUAUGGUUUCAACAACUCACAUAGAGAAUAACAAUAUUAUUUUAAAAUUUACACAAAACAUACACUCAACAUGUUUUACAAAGUAUAAAACUAUGUGCUGACUAUUUUGCAUUAAUCUCACCACUUUGGUCUUAGGGUUUUAAGGCCACAAUAUUUCGUAUAACAGAAAAUAUAGGAUUUUCUGUAGACACUCUCUAUAAAAUUUUCAAACAAGGUAAAGAAAGUAUACACAUGAUUUGGAACAAGACUCUCAAACUAUUAUUACAAAAAAUACUGGAGUUUCUGGAAUUUACAAACUAUUACAAAGUUUUUCUUACAAAAAUGCUUAUGAACUCACCAACAUUUUAUAUGUUGACGCUUUUCAAAAUGACUUGUAUUCUCAGGAACACAGUGAGCAGGUUUUUCAGCAGUGGACAUUGACAUUUGUCUUAUUUUUGGAUUAUCAUACAUUAUGUUAUUUUGGAUGUAUUUCCAUGAACAAACACAAAGAUGUAAACAAUGCAUGUUGAUAUCGUUAAUGUAUGAUGAUGAUGGUUGCUAUGUUUCAUUCAUAUUCAAUUGUUAUGAUAUUACAAGAUGAAGUCACCCGCCCCCGGACGUUGUCGCCGUCCCGGUUCGGGGGUGUGACAUUGUAAAGGAAAACCCUAAUUUUUAGGGGCUGCACCCUAUUUAAAUAACAUAAUCCGCCUCUUGUGGACUCCCUUACCACCCUGAUAGCCAUAGAAAACCCUAAUUAGACCUUGCACCUUCUUGAGUGAGAGAAAGAGCUUUUGUGAGCAUUUUUGGUGUGUUUGUGAAAGAUUUCAAAGCCUGGAGAAGAAGGAGCAAGGAGAGAAGCAAUAGAUCCGACAUCUACACUGUAUUGGCCACCAUCGUGAGGUAUAAAGUCGUUACCUUGAGCUCUAGUUGGUUAGAUCCCUUUUCUUGGAAGUAGAUGGCCAUUUUUGGUGCAAAGUAGGGUCAUACUCGAAUCUGGACUUAUCAAAAGGAUAUGGUUCCAGAUAUGGACCUCUAAAGGUCCCUAAUGACAUAAAGUUGCUCACUUUAUCUGGCUUAGGCCUAUCCAUGCACAAGAACAUUGUAAGAAGCUUAGUUUUGAUGCUUUAGCCUUGUAAGGCCUUGCAUUCACGUAAAGUUUGCAACUUUACGUGGUAACUACACUAGGGAAUAGUGGAUCUGGAGUUUGGGACCUUAGAUCCCAUUGAAAAGGGCUGAACACAAAAGGGACUGAAGGAACUCGUCAAGUCCCUUAGUUGACUCGACGAGUUGGGUAGGGUUUACCCGUUUUUUAGAUUCAGAAUGAGUGCAGUGAAGGAUUAGGGUUUGGGGACUGCAUGAGCUUUUAGUUUAGUGGACAUUUGAUGAACUCAAUGAGUCACUUAGGUGACUCGACGAGUUAACAUAGGAUUUAGUGGAAUGGACUCGGAUGAACUCGACGAGUUGCUAGGAUGCACUCAACGAGUUGAGGUCAACAUGAAUUGUUGACCUUAACCGUUGACCUUGACUUUGACCACGGUUGACUUUAAAAGUAUUUACGGGAUUAUGACAAGUUAAUCAUAUGUUGAUUAUAGGCAGUUGAAGAGGAGGAGUGCGUGAGAUAUAUCUGAUCUUAGCUUGUCAGUUCAGCACUCGAGAGGCGAGUCUCCUCACCAUAUCAAUAGAUCUAAGGCACCAAGGGCGGUCUAUUAUUGUUAUGAGUUAUGAUUAGUUGGUUGUGGGAUAUGUGAUAUGCUAGUUAUUUGUGAUACUCACAUGAAAGACCUCGAGGUGUUCCCAAGGCACUUAUAUGUAAUACCUUAAAGGGUUUCCAUGGCCUUCUAGUAUAUUUGUUUGUGUAGUUUGUAUGUUCGUACUCGAUUGUAAAGACCGUGUGGGGGUUCCUACGAUAGGAAGACCAUGUGGGGGUUCUCAUGGCAGUUAGUUAAGACCAUGUGGGGGUUUCCAUGGCAGUUAGUUAAGACCACGUAGGGAUUCCAGUGGCACUAGGUGUAAGACCCUAGAGGGUUUCCAUGGCUUCCUUAUAUGUUCGUAUUCAUGGCUUAUAUAUGUAGCUUUUAUAGCUAAUAUGAUAUGUGUUAUGUGGAUUGUGUGUGAGGUAUGCUCUCGGGAACUCACUAAGCAUUAGCUUACAGUUUUUGGAUUUGUUUCAGGUACAUCCGAGCCAAAGGGCAAGGGCAAGGCUUGAUGGCGCGACGUGCACUCUCUCUCAGGCGUUAUUAUGGGACACUCUAAUGUUUUGAAAUAAAAUUGUUGUUAUCACGAAUUUGAAAACAAUUGUAUUGGGAUUUCAGGAUUUGUGGAAAGUAUUUUGGUAAAUUAAAAAUGAAAAUUUUCUUUUGAAAAAUUGGGUUGUUACAUAUUACAUAGUUAGUUGAUGUAAACCUGAGCUUAGCAUGGGACUCUUAACACUCUCCCACUUCGUGCUUCAUUUUUUUCCAACGGAUAUAUGGAUCGUAAACCCUAUACUCUACACUCACUUUAACAAUAUUUCCUCCAUCGAUGUGAUCAUGAAAUGAGUCAUGGACACCAUUUUUGUUAUCAACAUUUCCCAUUCCAUAAAAAGUCCUACUUAAUAUAUUUUCAUCAUAUAUUAUGUUAACGACUGGUUCAUUGUAGAGUUUUAAAUAAUUUUUAAAGGUAUCUUGUGUAAAAUCCCCGAAUGAGAAGUCUACAAUAUCAUCAUCAAAGUCCUCGUCCCUUACAUAAAUAUUUUCAGAACCUUUGACUUUUUUAGCCCAAAUGAAAAAAUAAAGGUGUUAGUGACACUACAAAACUCGAUUAUGGAAGGUAACAACAUGCAAACACAUCAAUUUCUCAUUAUCGUCUAUGUACCUUUAUAGUGCAAUGUAUUUCAACUUCAAAAUGGAAGAUUUUACAUGCAACAAUGGUGUUAUAAACCAUUUUCAAAACCCUCGUCUUCCCGAUAUCAACUGCAUGAUGUCCUUUUUAAUGCAAAUGCUUAUGCUAAAAGACAAUGUUGAAGAGUACGAAGCAUAUUUUGAAAAUGAUUGUAGUGUAUAACACUCGUGACCAAUGAGGAGUUUAAUUUGUUCUUAACCGGCUAAGGAUUUGAUCAUCAUCUUAAUUAUUAAGGCUAAUUAGAAACAAAAAAUUCAUUUAUGACUGAUUUCUAAUCGCAAUGUAAAGCUUAUAAUUUUUAAGAAAAAACGGCAAGAUUGGUCUCUCUGGUAUUCAAAAAACAUCAAAAAUGUUUUCCGCUUGUAUAGAAAGUCCAAAAUCAAGAUUUUCAUAUGGUUUUGGUCCCAGUAAAAUUGAAAAGAACAAUUAUGCCCUUUCUAAUUUAUGUUUUCCAUUUUUUAUCUUUAUGUUAAUACUUUUUUAAUUUAAAAAAAAGGGAACCAGCUAACCCACCCAUCUCUCUCUCGUGUGUGUGUGUGUGUUUGUAUCUAAAUGGGUGCUCCUAAAACCAUUAGAACACAUCAAGCUUUUCAUCUCCCUUCCCUCCCUCUCACCAGAAAAACUUUAAUUAUGAGUUAAUAAGAAGCACUUUAAUGGUGUUAUCUAAGUUAUAGAGGAAAUAAAUAUGUGAUUGUUGAUUUGUUUUCUUCUGUUUCGUAUUUGUUCUGGAGUCCGAUAAUCAAAGGCAUCUGUGUGUAUGUCUAUGUUUUAAUCUACUGUAUGUAUGUGUGUGUUAAAUACAGUCGAUUGAUCCCCUUAAUCAGAGGGUGCCUAGUCGAUUUAUCCCAUAAUUUGAACCCUAAAACGCAAUUUCCUCCAAGACUUAUUUGGUUUGUGGGCAAGCUAAAGGGGGUGCUGAGAAGUGAUAUCCAUGAAUGCUUCUGCAAAAACAAUUCCUUCGCCAUUAUAAUCAACCGGAAGAGAAUCUAUGGAACUUUUGAUCACCGAUAUUGGAGAGAUAAAGAAUGUGAUUUGGGGUGGGGUGGGGCUGUUGGGUUUGAUCAAACUUGACUACUUCUGUGAUACUUGAUAACACCCGAUUCCCUUUCAACAACCCACCACCCCAUUAUCUUACCCACAAAUGGAUUUAAAGAAACCUCGAUACUGAAUAGAUUCACUCUCGAAGAAACCCAAAUUGAUUAUGUUCGAAAGGAUACCACAUACCAGACCCAUUUAGAAGUCGGUGCUUCCUCAAAUAUUGUUGUAUUUGACCAAUUCGAUUGGUGGGUGCAGUUUUGUAUCUUUGAUUCAUAUAUUACAUGGGUUUCCUUUCUUUUGGAGAAUCGUGGUGGAUGCCAAAAAAAAACCGGAAUGGAUCAAUCAACAGUAUUUGAUCAUGAAUGUGUGCAUAACUAUCAUUUGGCUCCAUGGCGAAUUGCAUCGGUGUAUAAGUAAAUGCUUUCGUUUAACCAGCAUUGCAAUUUCAUUCAGAUGCUACUUCAAAGGAUGCGCUAUUGUUGAAAAGACAGAGAUCGGUUAACAGUUACAGUGAAAACUGAUCAGAUUUCGGAAUCGGAUACAAUCGAAAAGGAGAAAACCUAUGAAUUCGAACUGUGGGUUUAAAGAAAUGCAAUCGGUAAACAAUACAUGUUUUAGGUACAAAAUAAUGAACAAACGUGGGCAAAAUCAAUACGUUUAAUUUCAAUACGAGCUAUUACAUGACAAAGAUAACAUUUUUAAGUCGAUCUCUCUUUACAAUGAGUAAAAUAAAACCCUAAACCCAAAAUCUAAGAACUGGUAAAUUUUGUUACAGCUUUCGUUCCCUCAGAAACAGCAUGCUUUGCCAACUCUCCAGGCAAAACCAAUCUCACCGCCGUCUGAAUUUCCCUGGAGGUGAUCGUGGGCUUCUUGUUGUACCUCGCAAGUUUCGAAGAUUCCUGAGCAAGCUUCUCGAAGAUGUCGUUGAUGAACGAGUUCAUAAUCCCCAUGGCCUUGCUUGAGAUACCGAUGUCAGGAUGAACCUGCUUCAAAACCUUGAAGAUGUAGAUCUUGUAUGUCUCCACGUUCUUCUUGCUUCUCUUCUUCUUCUUAUCGGUGGCACCGGCGCCGGCUUCCUUGGGAAGCUUCUUUCCGGCCUUUGGCUUUUUCUCGGCAGGGGAUUUUUCAGCUACGGCGGUUUUCUUCUCCUCCGCUGGCUUCUUCUCAGCUGGCUUCUUCUCUGCUUUAGGCGCCAUUGAAGGGACUUUUGUUUUGUAGAGAGGGAAUUUGAUGUUUAAAAAGAAAGAGAGAGAUGGC